This 126-nucleotide ribosomal RNA is filed under the name Pseudomonas asiatica. RNAcentral describes it as "partial 16S ribosomal RNA". It matches the Rfam family "Bacterial small subunit ribosomal RNA", at positions 1 to 125 of the family's 1533-position model. The record is from RNAcentral. Lineage: Bacteria; Pseudomonadati; Pseudomonadota; Gammaproteobacteria; Pseudomonadales; Pseudomonadaceae.
GAACUGAAGAGUUUGAUCAUGGCUCAGAUUGAACGCUGGCGGCAGGCCUAACACAUGCAAGUCGAGCGGAUGACGGGAGCUUGCUCCUUGAUUCAGCGGCGGACGGGUGAGUAAUGCCUAGGAAUC